GACGAACGCUGGCGGCGUGCUUAACACAUGCCAGUCGAACGGAAAGGCCCUGCUUUUGUUGGUUUCUCGAGUGGCGAACGGGUGAGUAACACGUGAGUAAACUGCACUUGACUUUCGGGUAAAAUCAGGAAACUGCGGCUAAUACCGGGUAUGAUCUCCUGCUGCAUGGUGUUGGUUGGUAAAAUUCGGCCGUUGGGGAUGGACUCGCAGGUUAUCAGCUUGUUUGUGUAGUAGUUGCUGACCAAGGCUUUGACGGCUAGCCUGCCUGAGAGGGGGGCCGGGGACAAUGGGACUGAGAGACGGCCCAGAAGCGUACCGGAGGCAGUAGUGGGGAAUAUUGCACAACGGGGGGAAGUCUGAUGCAACGACGUCGCGUGCGGGAUGACCGCCUUCGGGGUGUGAACCGAUUUCGCCUGUGACGUAGCGUGAGUGACGGUAAUGGGUAAAAAAGCAACGGCUAACUACGUG
This 468-nucleotide ribosomal RNA is filed under the name uncultured bacterium. RNAcentral's name for it is "partial 16S ribosomal RNA". It matches the Rfam family "Bacterial small subunit ribosomal RNA", at positions 28 to 507 of the family's 1533-position model. The record is from RNAcentral.